This 253-nucleotide ribosomal RNA is filed under the name uncultured bacterium. RNAcentral describes it as "partial 16S ribosomal RNA". It matches the Rfam family "Bacterial small subunit ribosomal RNA", at positions 524 to 776 of the family's 1533-position model. The record is from RNAcentral.
UACGUAGGGUGCAAGCGUUGCCCGGAAUUAUUGGGCGUAAAGAGCUCGUAGGCGGUUUGUCGCGUCUGCUGUGAAAACUCGGGGCUCAACUCCGAGCUUGCAGUGGGUACGGGCAGACUAGAGUGCGGUAGGGGAGACUGGAAUUCCUGGUGUAGCGGUGAAAUGCGCAGAUAUCAGGAGGAACACCGGUGGCGAAGGCGCCACUCUGGGCCGGUACUGACGCUGAGGAGCGAAAGCGUGGGGAGCAAACAGG